RNAcentral lists this ribosomal RNA (465 nucleotides) under uncultured bacterium. RNAcentral describes it as "partial 16S ribosomal RNA". It matches the Rfam family "Bacterial small subunit ribosomal RNA", at positions 28 to 507 of the family's 1533-position model. The record is from RNAcentral.
GACGAACGCUGGCGGCGUGCUUAACACAUGCAAGUCGAACGGAAAGGCCCUGCUUGCUGGGUACUCGAGUGGCGAACGGGUGAGUAACACGUGGGUGAUCUGCCCUGCACUUCGGGAUAAGCCUGGGAAACUGGGUCUAAUACCGGAUAUGACCUUCCAUGUAGUGUGGGGGGUGGAAAGAUUUAUCGGUGUGGGAUGAGCCCGCGGCCUAUCAGCUUGUUGGUGGGGUCAUGGCCUACCAAGGCGUCGACGGGUAGCCGGCCUGGGAGGGUGGACGGCCACAUUGGGACUGAGAUACGGCCCAGACUCCUACAGGAGGCAGCAGUGGGGAAUAUUGCACAAUGGGCGGAAGCCUGAUGCAGCGACGCCGCGUGGGGGAUGACGGCCUUCGGGUUGUAAACCGCUUUCGGCAGGGACGAAGCUUCGGUGACGGUACCUGUAGAAGAAGCACCGGCUAACUACGUG